Bombus terrestris (buff-tailed bumblebee) is the source of this 413-nucleotide long non-coding RNA. RefSeq lists it as uncharacterized. NCBI's taxonomy places the organism in Eukaryota, Metazoa, Arthropoda, Insecta, Hymenoptera, Apidae. The transcript has 2 exons. The record is from RefSeq and is a predicted model, not a curated record.
UUUACCUGUAUCUUGCAUUUUCUAUUCUAUUAACGGAGAAACUACUCGUUACCUUAAAACUUUAAGAUAUUGAGGUAGAUACAAGAAUCGUAUGGAACUUCUUAAUGAAAAUGACUUUCGUAAUGUUUCCAACGGUUAGGAAAUACGUACCGUUCGUUCAUUGCAAAUCCGCGAGAUGACCUCGAAAGUGAUUUGCAGGCUUUGGAAGAGGCGAUUGCAAAAUCGGAAUGUCUGAUAGUAAUACAGGUUUCCAUGAAAUUUGAUAUACGCAGCGCAAGACAUCGUGGAUGAGCAACAUUUGACAGCUUAUAGACUUUAUUAUUGGAUUUCCUAUAAAAUUUUACAUUCAAUCUCAACAAUUGAAAAUGCAAACAAUUUAAUACGAUUCCUUUCAAUAUAUUAAUUCAUUUCGA